Molecule: transfer RNA, 73 nt
Rfam family: tRNA
About the family: Transfer RNA (tRNA) molecules are approximately 80 nucleotides in length. Their secondary structure includes four short double-helical elements and three loops (D, anti-codon, and T loops). Further hydrogen bonds mediate the characteristic L-shaped molecular structure. tRNAs have two regions of fundamental functional importance: the anti-codon, which is responsible for specific mRNA codon recognition, and the 3' end, to which the tRNAs corresponding amino acid is attached (by aminoacyl-tRNA synthetases). tRNAs cope with the degeneracy of the genetic code in two manners: having more than one tRNA (with a specific anti-codon) for a particular amino acid; and 'wobble' base-pairing, i.e. permitting non-standard base-pairing at the 3rd anti-codon position.
Source: Rfam
GCUCGGUUGGUGAAGCUGGAUAUCACACAGAAUUUCUAAUUCUGUAUCAAGGGUUCAAAUCCCUUACUGAGUA